RNAcentral lists this ribosomal RNA (504 nucleotides) under uncultured bacterium. RNAcentral describes it as "bacterial SSU rRNA". It matches the Rfam family "Bacterial small subunit ribosomal RNA", at positions 107 to 607 of the family's 1533-position model. The record is from RNAcentral.
UGAGUAAUGUCUGGGAAACUGCCUGAUGGAGGGGGAUAACUACUGGAAACGGUAGCUAAUACCGCAUAACGUCGCAAGACCAAAGAGGGGGACCUUCGGGCCUCUUGCCAUCAGAUGUGCCCAGAUGGGAUUAGCUAGUAGGUGGGGUAAUGGCUCACCUAGGCGACGAUCCCUAGCUGGUCUGAGAGGAUGACCAGCCACACUGGAACUGAGACACGGUCCAGACUCCUACGGGAGGCAGCAGCGGGGAAUAUUGCACAAUGGGCGCAAGCCUGAUGCAGCCAUGCCGCGUGUGUGAAGAAGGCCUUCGGGUUGUAAAGCACUUUCAGCGAGGAGGAAGGUGGUGAACUUAAUACGUUCAUCAAUUGACGUUACUCGCAGAAGAAGCACCGGCUAACUCCGUGCCAGCAGCCGCGGUAAUACGGAGGGUGCAAGCGUUAAUCGGAAUUACUGGGCGUAAAGCGCACGCAGGCGGUUUGUUAAGUCAGAUGUGAAAUCCCCGGG